Molecule: ribosomal RNA, 461 nt
Filed under: uncultured Methylomirabilota bacterium
Lineage: Bacteria; Methylomirabilota (SeqCode)
Description: bacterial SSU rRNA
Rfam family: Bacterial small subunit ribosomal RNA
Source: RNAcentral
GGGCUUGACAUCCCACGAACCUGCCUGAAAGGGCGGGGUGCCCGCAAGGGAGCGUGGAGACAGGUGGUGCAUGGCUGUCGUCAGCUCGUGUCGUGAGAUGUUGAGUUAAGUCCCGCAACGAGCGCAACCCUCACCCCUGGUUGCCACCGGGUAAAGCCGAGCACUCGAGGGGAACUGCCAGCGUCAAGCUGGAGGAAGGCGGGGAUGACGUCAAGUCAUCAUGCCCCUUACGCCCUGGGCUACACACGUACUACAAUGGCCGGUACAAAGGGACGCGAGACCGCGAGGUGGAGCUAAUCCCAAAAAACCGGUCUAAGUUCAGAUUGCAGUCUGCAACUCGACUGCAUGAAGGAGGAAUCGCUAGUAAUCGCGCAUCAGCACGGCGCGGUGAAUACGUUCCCGGGCCUUGUACACACCGCCCGUCACACCACGAAAGCUGUCUGUACUCGAAGUCGCUGAGA